Molecule: long non-coding RNA, 344 nt
Organism: Nannospalax galili (Upper Galilee mountains blind mole rat)
Lineage: Eukaryota; Metazoa; Chordata; Mammalia; Rodentia; Spalacidae
Exons: 2
Source: RefSeq, a predicted model, not a curated record
GACCACUGUGUAGGUGUGACUGACAGACUCCCAUCCCACUUCCCCCCUGGAGCUGGGAUGGUCUGGAAUGAAAGUCCCAGCCUCUGCCCCAGGCUAGGCUUUCUGGUGGCCAGCCCAUCCUGAAGCUGCUCCCAGGCCACCAGGAGUCACCUCCAUGGAACAAGGCACACUCCCGUCCUGUGGGGAGUCCCCAGGCACACGGAGUUCCACGUUCCACCGGAAUCAAACUCCUUUCUUCCACUAUGUCCCGCUCUGCUUCACAGCUGUGUGACCCUCACUCCCAGCAUGCCCUGUUGAUUGGAUGGCUCUGAGAAGCAAGACCUCUACCACCCAUUCAGCUGUGA